GCCCUUGUAGUUCAAUGGAUAGAACGCGGGCCUCCGGAGCUUGAGAUAGAGGUUCGACUCCUCUCAAGGGCAC
RNAcentral lists this transfer RNA (73 nucleotides) under subsurface metagenome. RNAcentral describes it as "tRNA-Arg". It matches the Rfam family "tRNA". From Rfam's summary of the family: Transfer RNA (tRNA) molecules are approximately 80 nucleotides in length. Their secondary structure includes four short double-helical elements and three loops (D, anti-codon, and T loops). The record is from RNAcentral.